GACGAACGCUGGCGGCGUGCCUAAUACAUGCAAGUAGAACGCUGAAGGAGGAGCUUGCUUCUCUGGAUGAGUUGCGAACGGGUGAGUAACGCGUAGGUAACCUGCCUGGUAGCGGGGGAUAACUAUUGGAAACGAUGGCUAAUACCGCAUAAUAGUAGAUGUUGCAUGACAUUUGCUUAAAAGGUGCAAUUGCAUCACUACCAGAUGGACCUGCGUUGUAUUAGCUAGUUGGUGGGGUAACGGCUCACCAAGGCGACGAUACAUAGCCGACCUGAGAGGGUGAUCGGCCACACUGGGACUGAGACACGGCCCAGACUCCUACGGGAGGCAGCAGUAGGGAAUCUUCGGCAAUGGACGGAAGUCUGACCGAGCAACGCCGCAUGAGUGAAGAAGGGUUUCGGAUCGUAAAGCUCUGUUGUAAGAGAAGAACGAGUGUGAGAGUGGAAAGUUCACACUGUGACGGUAGCUUACCAGAAAGGGACGGCUAACUACGUG
RNAcentral lists this ribosomal RNA (495 nucleotides) under uncultured bacterium. Its description in RNAcentral is "partial 16S ribosomal RNA". It matches the Rfam family "Bacterial small subunit ribosomal RNA", at positions 28 to 507 of the family's 1533-position model. The record is from RNAcentral.